CCUACGGGAGGCUGCAGUGAGGAAUAUUGGUCAAUGGACGAGAGUCUGAACCAGCCAAGUAGCGUGAAUGAUGACUGCCCUAUGGGUUGUAAACUUCUUUUAUAUGGGAAUAAAACGUUCCACGUGUGGGAUUUUGUAUGUACCAUAUGAAUAAGGAUCGGCUAACUCCGUGCCAGCAGCCGCGGUAAUACGGAGGAUCCGAGCGUUAUCCGGAUUUAUUGGGUUUAAAGGGAGCGUAGGUGGAUUGUUAAGUCAGUUGUGAAAGUUUGCGGCUCAACCGUAAAAUUGCAGUUGAAACUGGCAGUCUUGAGUACAGUAGAGGUGGGCGGAAUUCGUGGUGUAGCGGUGAAAUGCUUAGAUAUCACGAAGAACUCCGAUUGCGAAGGCAGUUCACUGGACUGCAACUGACACUGAGGCUCGAAAGUGUGGGUAUCAAACAGGAUUAGAUACCCCAGUAGUC
Molecule: ribosomal RNA, 460 nt
Filed under: uncultured bacterium
Lineage: Bacteria
Description: partial 16S ribosomal RNA
Rfam family: Bacterial small subunit ribosomal RNA
Source: RNAcentral